Molecule: ribosomal RNA, 1298 nt
Filed under: Serratia grimesii
Lineage: Bacteria; Pseudomonadati; Pseudomonadota; Gammaproteobacteria; Enterobacterales; Yersiniaceae
Description: bacterial SSU rRNA
Rfam family: Bacterial small subunit ribosomal RNA
Source: RNAcentral
GGGGGGCGGCUACACAUGCAGUCGAGCGGUAGCACAGGAGAGCUUGCUCUCCGGGUGACGAGCGGCGGACGGGUGAGUAAUGUCUGGGAAACUGCCUGAUGGAGGGGGAUAACUACUGGAAACGGUAGCUAAUACCGCAUAACGUCUUCGGACCAAAGUGGGGGACCUUCGGGCCUCAUGCCAUCAGAUGUGCCCAGAUGGGAUUAGCUAGUAGGUGGGGUAAUGGCUCACCUAGGCGACGAUCCCUAGCUGGUCUGAGAGGAUGACCAGCCACACUGGAACUGAGACACGGUCCAGACUCCUACGGGAGGCAGCAGUGGGGAAUAUUGCACAAUGGGCGCAAGCCUGAUGCAGCCAUGCCGCGUGUGUGAAGAAGGCCUUCGGGUUGUAAAGCACUUUCAGCGAGGAGGAAGGGUUCAGUGUUAAUAGCACUGUGCAUUGACGUUACUCGCAGAAGAAGCACCGGCUAACUCCGUGCCAGCAGCCGCGGUAAUACGGAGGGUGCAAGCGUUAAUCGGAAUUACUGGGCGUAAAGCGCACGCAGGCGGUUUGUUAAGUCAGAUGUGAAAUCCCCGCGCUUAACGUGGGAACUGCAUUUGAAACUGGCAAGCUAGAGUCUUGUAGAGGGGGGUAGAAUUCCAGGUGUAGCGGUGAAAUGCGUAGAGAUCUGGAGGAAUACCGGUGGCGAAGGCGGCCCCCUGGACAAAGACUGACGCUCAGGUGCGAAAGCGUGGGGAGCACACAGGAUUAGAUACCCUGGUAGUCCACGCUGUAAACGAUGUCGACUUGGAGGUUGUGCCCUUGAGGCGUGGCUUCCGGAGCUAACGCGUUAAGUCGACCGCCUGGAGAGUACGGCCGCAAGGUUAAAACUCAUAUGAAUUGACGGGGGCCCGCACAAGCGGUGGAGCAUGUGGUUUAAUUCGAUGCAACGCGAAGAACCUUACCUACUCUUGACAUCCAGAGAAUUCGCUAGAGAUAGCUUAGUGCCUUCGGGAACUCUGAGACAGGUGCUGCAUGGCUGUCGUCAGCUCGUGUUGUGAAAUGUUGGGUUAAGUCCCGCACGAGCGCAACCCUUAUCCUUUGUUGCCAGCACGUAAUGGUGGGAACUCAAAGGAGACUGCCGGUGAUAACCGGAGAAAGGUGGGGAUGACUUCAAGUCAUCAGGCCCUUACGAAUAGGGCUACCACGUGCUACAUGGCGUAACAAAGAAAACCAACUCCCGAGACCAGCGGACCUCAAAAGUACUUCUAAUCCGGAUCGGAGUUCGCACUCCACUCCGGAAAUCGGAAUCCUUUAAA